This 497-nucleotide ribosomal RNA is filed under the name uncultured bacterium. RNAcentral describes it as "partial 16S ribosomal RNA". It matches the Rfam family "Bacterial small subunit ribosomal RNA", at positions 28 to 507 of the family's 1533-position model. The record is from RNAcentral.
GAUGAACGCUGGCGGCGUGCCUAAUACAUGCAAGUCGAGCGAACAGACGAGGAGCUUGCUCCUCUGACGUUAGCGGCGGACGGGUGAGUAACACGUGGAUAACCUACCUAUAAGACUGGGAUCACUUCGGGAAACCGGAGCUAAUACCGGAUAAUAUAUUGAACCGCAUGGUUCAAUAGUGAAAGACGGUUUUGCUGUCACUUAUAGAUGGAUCCGCGCCGCAUUAGCUAGUUGGUAAGGUAACGGCUUACCAAGGCAACGAUGCGUAGCCGACCUGAGAGGGUGAUCGGCCACACUGGAACUGAGACACGGUCCAGACUCCUACGGGAGGCAGCAGUAGGGAAUCUUACGCAAUGGGCGAAAGCCUGACGGAGCAACGCCGCGUGAGUGAUGAAGGUCUUCGGAUCGGAAAACUCUGUUAUUAGGGAAGAAGAAAUGUGUAAGUAACUAUGCACGUCUUGACGGUACCUUAUCAGAAAGCCACGGCUAACUACGUG